GGUCUGUGCUCAGUCAUGGCUGAUUUAGGGUCAGUGCUUUGAGUGGACUUUAAGUGGCGCUUGACGCUUCUAAAAAGCUCAGCAGAUUUUCUCAACCUGAAGCGGAAAUAUCGCAGACACAACUGUCCAAAGAAGCGCUGUCUACCUCUUCACUCCAGAGUGCCAUUCCCUUGAGGUUUCACGACUACACAACUAUCCUUAUGAUGCCUUAUCAAGCAUUAAGAAAACCAAAGACCAGCUUUGGGAAAUAAGAGAAGAGUUUCGUAUCCGACUCAGUGAGGACUGUUCUGUAACCAAGCCAUGCUAGUCACUUCUGUAAAGGGAGUGUAUUGUUUUAUGAAUGUUAGUGAUCAAGCCAUGGGGACAUUCACUGCAACCAAAGAUGCUGAAAACUCAUCGCUCAAUCAGUUUGAGUUUGCCAGAAUCAUUGUAAAUAGUAAGAACUGAAUGAAAUGUGUUUAUAUGUAAUUUAUGCACUUUAAAUGCUUUAUUAUUAUCUUGAUUAAAUAAAAAGUGUAUUGUCUUUUCAC
Cyprinus carpio carpio is the source of this 530-nucleotide long non-coding RNA. NCBI's taxonomy places the organism in Eukaryota, Metazoa, Chordata, Actinopteri, Cypriniformes, Cyprinidae. The record is from Ensembl.